GUGGAUAUUUCGAACAUUUGAGUUUUCGUUCAAAUCCAUUAUUGGGUAGCCCCAACUUGAUGUUUUUGAAAGAAUAUGCGGUGAUUUCGAGGGCAACAAGAACCGUUAUCGGCCGUAUGAAUGAAAUCCCAAAGUGCCGGCGAUUUAAUGAUGAAGCACAUUUUCUUAUAUGCACUUGGGGGCCCACCACUGAGCUCUACUAUAUAUAUCUGGAGAUCGUGCUCCCAUAUCUCGUCAAACAAAAAAGUGUCCGCAAAAACAUGGCGGAUUUCGAGCUCCGCGUCCACUAUUUUCGGGCGAUUUACCACUGACCACAUAAUAUUUUUGAAAGCCACCUGUUUUCGCACCCCCCUGGAUGCAAAAAGUAUACACUGUGUAAUUAUUAAACUAUCAAGUUUCACAACUUUAUAUUUUGUCAACAUGCCGCGUUAAUAUUGCUCGGUUUAUGGUUGUCACAACUCCUUUGACAAAGACGGAUUGUAUUCACACUGUCACUGGUAAGGAAAUAUUAUUUUGUGCUUAGAUAUCAUUCGAGAAGUUUUUUCUGUAGUUUAUGUUUUGUUCACGUGCAUGUGUCACAUACCAGCUUUUCUCGACUAUGGCCUCCUUUCUGAUGUUUUUGCAUGCAGUUUGUUUCAUUCAAAUAUUAUAUUUCCAUUGUUCCUUGUGAUGUUCUCAUGUGCGUUUUUCCUACCUACUGUACAGUGUAUUUUAUAGGCCUGUUUGUAUUUAUGAAAGCAUAUUGUUAUUGAAUUUUUUCCCUUCACAUAUUUAAGUAUUCCUGAUGCAAAGAAGCAUCCAGAGUUGUACAGCGUAUGGGUUGAGUAUAUGAAUAAACAUGCGACAGUGAAGUCUGUUCCUGCGAAAAGUAGUCGUUUGUGUUCAGAUCACUUUAGUGCUGAUAUGUAUGAGAUAAAGGGCAAAAGCCAGAAAUUAGUAUUGAGACUGGAUGCUAAUACCAACAAUAGUUACACAAAGGUUUGCUCAGGUCAUUGGUGCGAUUUAAAGUGUUAUAUGUAACAGUGUGCAUGAGUUACAUUCUUUGCUAAGGGACAAGUCAUUAUUAAUGCCGGGUAGGGGGCUGGACGAAAUUUUUAUGAAUAGCAAAAAUUUUUCAUGACCCCUUAUUUUUCUAACAAACUAUUUUAUCCCCCCCCUCCACCCCAAUUCUGAAUUCAAUUACUCUAAGUCAGUUUCAUAACCAUUUUUCCUGCCCUCAUACUCAGUUUACUUGCAG
RNAcentral lists this long non-coding RNA (1237 nucleotides) under Paramuricea clavata. The record is from RNAcentral. Lineage: Eukaryota; Metazoa; Cnidaria; Anthozoa; Malacalcyonacea; Plexauridae.